ACUGCGGAGACAUUAAUGAAAAAUAGGACGUUCUUUUUAGAAGUCCGACCCUUCAUUUACUUUACACUGUGCACACACUUCUUUUUCACCCAUUUUUAAACACUAUAGUAUAAGAAUGUACCAGUCUCUUAAUUGAGCAUAAAUAUAAAAUAAAACUUUCAGCAACGGAUCUCUUGGCUCUCGCAUCGAUGAAGAACGCAGCGAAUUGCGAUAAGUAAUGUGAAUUGCAGAAUUCAGUGAAUCAUCGAAUCUUUGAACGCACCUUGCACUCUUUGGUAUUCCGAAGAGUAUGUCUGUUUGAGUGUCAUGAAACUCUCAACCCCCUUAUCUUGUAAUGAGAUAGGUGUGGGCUUGGAUUAUGGCUGUCUGUCGGCGUAAAGUCGGCUCGGCUGAAAUACACGAGCAACCCAUUUGAAAUAGACGGUUUGACUUGGCGUAAUAAUUAUUUCGCUAAGGACGUCUUCUUUAAAGUUAGAGGUGCUUCCAAUGCGUUUUACCAAAAACAUUUAAGCUUUAGACCUCAAAUCAGGCAGGACUACCCGCUGAACUUAAGCAUAUCAAUA
This 563-nucleotide small RNA is filed under the name Cystobasidiomycetes sp. M22. RNAcentral's name for it is "eukaryotic LSU rRNA". The stretch from base 154 to 307 matches the Rfam family "5.8S ribosomal RNA". The record is from RNAcentral. Lineage: Eukaryota; Fungi; Basidiomycota; Cystobasidiomycetes.